GAAGUGUGCUCAUCCGAUUGGCGGUAUUCAAGGCAGCUAACAAUAAUUACAGAAUUAAAGAAAAUAAUGAAAUAAAGAAUAACCUCAAGUCAGGAAAAAUGAACAGGUCAAUCGAUCAUAUAUUGUCGAGAAGGUUACAUGGUUGAGACAGGCGAAUGAAAUGGUAUCGACAGCGGUAGUUAAUAAAAUAAGCAAUCGUUGUU
This is a long non-coding RNA of Neodiprion virginianus, 203 nucleotides long. RefSeq lists it as uncharacterized. Lineage: Eukaryota; Metazoa; Arthropoda; Insecta; Hymenoptera; Diprionidae. The record is from RefSeq and is a predicted model, not a curated record. The transcript has 3 exons.